Molecule: small nuclear RNA, 301 nt
Filed under: Nannospalax galili (Upper Galilee mountains blind mole rat)
Lineage: Eukaryota; Metazoa; Chordata; Mammalia; Rodentia; Spalacidae
Description: 7SK RNA (ENSNGAG00000009413.1)
Rfam family: 7SK RNA
About the family: 7SK was discovered as an abundant small nuclear RNA in the mid-70s but a possible function has only recently been suggested. Two independent studies have found that 7SK RNA binds the CDK9/cyclin T complex (known as elongation factor P-TEFb).
Source: RNAcentral
GGAUGUGAGGGCGAUCUGUCUACAGCAUCUAUCAUCCAUCCCAUUGAUCACUGGAGUUGAUUAGGCUGAUCUGGCAGGUUAGGCAGGUGGCCCUUUCCACCCACGCACUCUGUGUGCACCCUUCCUGAAGCAGCAUUCUCAGGCCAAGAGGAUGACUUUCCUUGGUUGAGGAGGGUUGUUCUUUGGUCAGAGAUGUACUAGAAGUAGCUAUAUUCCCCUGAUAGAGGAGAGUGAAUACAAGCUCUCAGACAGUGGGUCCAAAAUUGACAUCAGAAUCUUUUUAUUAAAAGACGCUUUAUGU